GAUAAACGCUGGCGGCGUGCCUAAUACAUGCAAGUCGAGCGAACGGACGAGAAGCUUGCUUCUCUGAUGUUAGCGGCGGACGGGUGAGUAACACGUGGAUAACCUACCUAUAAGACUGGGAUAACUUCGGGAAACCGGAGCUAAUACCGGAUAAUAUUUUGAACCGCAUGGUUCAAAAGUGAAAGACGGUCUUGCUGUCACUUAUAGAUGGAUCCGCGCUGCAUUAGCUAGUUGGUAAGGUAACGGCUUACCAAGGCAACGAUGCAUAGCCGACCUGAGAGGGUGAUCGGCCACACUGGAACUGAGACACGGUCCAGACUCCUACGGGAGGCAGCAGUAGGGAAUCUUCCGCAAUGGGCGAAAGCCUGACGGAGCAACGCCGCGUGAGUGAUGAAGGUCUUCGGAUCGUAAAACUCUGUUAUUAGGGAAGAACAUAUGUGUAAGUAACUGUGCACAUCUUGACGGUACCUAAUCAGAAAGCCACGGCUAACUACGUGCCAGCAGCCGCGGUAAUACGUAGGUGGCAAGCGUUAUCCGGAAUUAUUGGGCGUAAAGCGCGCGUAGGCGGUUUUUUAAGUCUGAUGUGAAAGCCCACGGCUCAACCGUGGAGGGUCAUUGGAAACUGGAAAACUUGAGUGCAGAAGAGGAAAGUGGAAUUCCAUGUGUAGCGGUGAAAUGCGCAGAGAUAUGGAGGAACACCAGUGGCGAAGGCGACUUUCUGGUCUGUAACUGACGCUGAUGUGCGAAAGCGUGGGGAUCAAACAGGAUUAGAUACCCUGGUAGUCCACGCCGUAAACGAUGAGUGCUAAGUGUUAGGGGGUUUCCGCCCCUUAGUGCUGCAGCUAACGCAUUAAGCACUCCGCCUGGGGAGUACGACCGCAAGGUUGAAACUCAAAGGAAUUGACGGGGACCCGCACAAGCGGUGGAGCAUGUGGUUUAAUUCGAAGCAACGCGAAGAACCUUACCAAAUCUUGACAUCCUUUGACAACUCUAGAGAUUGAGCCUUCCCCUUCGGGGGACAAAGUGACAGGUGGUGCAUGGUUGUCGUCAGCUCGUGUCGUGAGAUGUUGGGUUAAGUCCCGCAACGAGCGCAACCCUUAAGCUUAGUUGCCAUCAUUAAGUUGGGCACUCUAAGUUGACUGCCGGUGACAAACCGGAGGAAGGUGGGGAUGACGUCAAAUCAUCAUGCCCCUUAUGAUUUGGGCUACACACGUGCUACAAUGGACAAUACAAAGGGCAGCGAAACCGCGAGGUCAAGCAAAUCCCAUAAAGUUGUUCUCAGUUCGGAUUGUAGUCUGCAACUCGACUACAUGAAGCUGGAAUCGCUAGUAAUCGUAGAUCAGCAUGCUACGGUGAAUACGUUCCCGGGUCU
Molecule: ribosomal RNA, 1372 nt
Filed under: uncultured bacterium
Lineage: Bacteria
Description: bacterial SSU rRNA
Rfam family: Bacterial small subunit ribosomal RNA
Source: RNAcentral